AUGAUCUGGGAGGUCUUUGCCAACCUGAAUGAUUCUAUGAUUCUACGUAACACAGCCAAGAUUCUGUGUAAUACAGCCAAGGAGGUACCUGCUGUGAGGACACCUCUCCAUGGAGGGACCGAGGGAGCCCCCCGGUUACCUCAGACCGCGCUGAGGCGAGGCCCCGGCGCCUCCCAGGGGGGAGCCUCCCCUCAGCGCUCCGGCUUCGGGCCGCCCGCCUCAGCAACAGGUCUGUGCCGGGGGCGGAGAAGGGGGCUGUGUGUGUGUGUGGGGGGGACCCCGCUUCUCCCCGCGGCGUGCCAGGCCACCAAGCGGCGUGCCAGGCGAACAAAGGGGCCGAGCGCGGAGCGGGCUCCCGCCUUCAGCCAUUUGCAGCGCCCCGCCGCUCCCCACCCCCUUCCUCCCCCUUCCCCGCCGGCGCAGGCUCCGGCUCGCCACGGAGCCGCCGCCGCCACCACCACCGCCAGCACCGCCACCACUACGGCGGGCCCGAGGUGGGGCCGGGCCGGCUGCGGGCUGUGGGCUGCGGGGCGGGGCGGGAGGCGGGCGGGCAGCCCUGCGGGAGCCCUGCCGGGAGCGCCGCGCCGCUCGCCGCCCGUCUCCGCGCUGCCGCAAGCUCUGAUGACGACGUGGGGUCGCCUCAUACUUUGCUCAGCCCUCAGUUACAUCACUGCUGCUAAAAACAUCCCCAUUGCCUGGUGGAGUCGGUGCUGACAGCUCGCAGGUGGAGUGCAUAUAAGGAGCAGUGAGAUGAAGAAACCUCUGUGAUGUUCAUGCCAAGGAGACUUUGGCUAGUGGGGAAUCUCCUUCCAGAACAGAUUGCAACCACUCUCUUCCCCUGAAAUAGCUGCACACGGUGAACAAGCGAUGAUAGUACUCCUAACUCUCUGACUUCAGAGGACAUUUCUUCCUCAUUGCCCAGCACAGUGUGGGACCGGUUGUCACAAAAGGAUGCCGCGCAUAAAAACUGCUUAGCAUUUUCAUAUAAUAACAGGAAAACCAGAACAGCUUCUCAGGCUAUCGAGGUGCAAUAUCCACACCGGGAAGAGGUUUAGGUUUUCACCGACAGCAUCUGACAGGGGAGAAGGAAGCCGGUGCAGGCUGGGCCGUGGAGGCUCAGUGCUCUGUGCUGUUCCCCGCAGGUGAUGGGCGUAGCGGUGCGGCCGAGAGCCGUCCUGUGCGGCACUGCGCAGGGCCGGAGCAGCUAGCCUGG
RNAcentral lists this long non-coding RNA (1213 nucleotides) under Anser brachyrhynchus (Pink-footed goose). Its description in RNAcentral is "lncRNA (ENSABRG00000020636.1)". The record is from RNAcentral. Lineage: Eukaryota; Metazoa; Chordata; Aves; Anseriformes; Anatidae.